Molecule: ribosomal RNA, 253 nt
Filed under: uncultured bacterium
Lineage: Bacteria
Description: partial 16S ribosomal RNA
Rfam family: Bacterial small subunit ribosomal RNA
Source: RNAcentral
UACGGAGGGAGCUAGCGUUGUUCAGAAUUACUGGGCGUAAAGCGCACGUAGGCGGCUUUGUAAGUUAGAGGUGAAAGCCCGGGGCUCAACUCCGGAACUGCCUUUAAGACUGCAUCGCUUGAAUCCAGGAGAGGUGAGUGGAAUUCCGAGUGUAGAGGUGAAAUUCGUAGAUAUUCGGAAGAACACCAGUGGCGAAGGCGGCUCACUGGACUGGUAUUGACGCUGAGGUGCGAAAGCGUGGGGAGCGAACAGG